Molecule: ribosomal RNA, 497 nt
Filed under: uncultured bacterium
Lineage: Bacteria
Description: partial 16S ribosomal RNA
Rfam family: Bacterial small subunit ribosomal RNA
Source: RNAcentral
ACUCAAAGGAAUUGACGGGGGCCCGCACAAGCGGCGGAGCAUGCGGAUUAAUUCGAUGCAACGCGAAGAACCUUACCAAGGCUUGACAUACAGAGAAAACUGUCAGAGAUGGCAGGUCCUUACGGGCUCUGUACAGGUGGUGCAUGGUUGUCGUCAGCUCGUGUCGUGAGAUGUUGGGUUAAGUCCCGCAACGAGCGCAACCCUCGUUCUAUGUUGCCAGCGGAUAAUGCCGGGGACUCAUAGGAGACUGCCGGGGUCAACUCGGAGGAAGGUGGGGAUGACGUCAAAUCAUCAUGCCCCUUAUGUCUUGGGCUUCACGCAUGCUACAAUGGCCAGCACAAAGGGCUGCGAGACCGCAAGGUGGAGCGAAUCCCAAAAAACUGGUCUCAGUUCGGAUUGGGGUCUGCAACUCGACCCCAUGAAGUCGGAGUCGCUAGUAAUCGCAGAUCAGCAACGCUGCGGUGAAUACGUUCCCGGGCCUUGUACACACCGCCCGU